CCUACGGGGGGCUGCAGUGGGGAAUAUUGCACAAUGGGCGCAAGCCUGAUGCAGCCAUGCCGCGUGUGUGAAGAAGGCCUUCGGGUUGUAAAGCACUUUCAGCGGGGAGGAAGGCGUUAAGGUUAAUAACCUUGGCGAUUGACGUUACCCACAGAAGAAGCACCGGCUAACUCCGUGCCAGCAGCCGCGGUAAUACGGAGGGUGCAAGCGUUAAUCGGAAUUACUGGGCGUAAAGCGCACGCAGGCGGUCUGUCAAGUCGGAUGUGAAAUCCCCGGGCUCAACCUGGGAACUGCAUUCGAAACUGGCAGGCUAGAGUCUUGUAGAGGGGGGUAGAAUUCCAGGUGUAGCGGUGAAAUGCGUAGAGAUCUGGAGGAAUACCGGUGGCGAAGGCGGCCCCCUGGACAAAGACUGACGCUCAGGUGCGAAAGCGUGGGGAGCAAACAGGAUUAGAUACCCUUGUAGUC
RNAcentral lists this ribosomal RNA (465 nucleotides) under uncultured Klebsiella sp. RNAcentral's name for it is "bacterial SSU rRNA". It matches the Rfam family "Bacterial small subunit ribosomal RNA", at positions 338 to 795 of the family's 1533-position model. The record is from RNAcentral. Lineage: Bacteria; Pseudomonadati; Pseudomonadota; Gammaproteobacteria; Enterobacterales; Enterobacteriaceae.